AUUGAACGCUGGCGGCAUGCCUUACACAUGCAAGUCGAACGCGUCCUUCGGGGCGAGUGGCAGACGGGUGAGUAACGCGUGGGAACCUACCUCAUGGUACGGAAUAACCCAGGGAAACUUGGGCUAAUACCGCAUGAGACGGUUCCGCAAGGGAUCGGGAAAGAUUGAUCGCCAGGGGAUGGGCCCGCGUCGGAUUAGCUUGUUGGUGGGGUAACGGCCUACCAAGGCGACGAUCCGUAGCUGGUCUGAGAGGAUGAUCAGCCACACUGGGACUGAGACACGGCCCAGACUCCUACGGGAGGCUGCAGUCGAGGAUCUUCGGCAAUGGGCGCAAGCCUGACCGAGCGACGCCGCGUGGAGGAUGAAGGCCUUCGGGUUGUAAACUCCUGUCGAGGGGGAGGAAAGCCGUGCAACCGGCCUGACCGACCCCUGGAGGAAGCACGGGCUAAGUUCGUGCCAGCAGCCGCGGUAA
This 472-nucleotide ribosomal RNA is filed under the name uncultured bacterium. Its description in RNAcentral is "partial 16S ribosomal RNA". It matches the Rfam family "Bacterial small subunit ribosomal RNA", at positions 28 to 523 of the family's 1533-position model. The record is from RNAcentral.